CAAUUAUUGUCAAUUUAAAAAUACAAUUUUAAAAACACUCAUUUUAUUUUUUUAAAUUAAUUGUUCUUAUUUUAAAAAUUAUUAUUUUUUAGGGAUGGGAUCUCACUGCAUUGCUCAGGCUGGUCUCAAACUCCUGGGCUCAAGCAAUCUUCCUGCCUUAGCUUCCCAAAGUUCUGGGAUUACAGGCAUGAGCCACCACUCCCAGCCAAAAAAAAAAAUACUCAUUUAAAGCUGCACAAGUUUGAUGGCACAAGUCUGUAUAACUGGACCUGUGCCUUUAUAAAACCUCAAACACUGCAAAGGUUCAUGAAACAAUGUAUAUCUAUUCUUCUUAUUCACUGUCAUCAAUGCUGACCAGGGAAAAUUGCACAGGUGCACGUGUGUGUGUGUGUGUGUAGGGCUAGUGAAGCAGGCAACUACCAGAGAUACAUUAUUAAAAAGCUAACAUUUAUUGGCCAGGCGCGGUGGCUUACGUCUGUAAUCCCAGCACUCUCACGGGUGGUGCCUCCCCGGCAAUGGGGGUCCCAAGAUCCAGGGGGGGAAAAGGGGAUGGCUCUCAGCCACCACAAAAUGGGGGGCCUUUAUGUUCAGGUUUUGCCCAAGAGUCAGCUUAUUUGCUUCUUGUACUAGCAGGGCAGUUGCUGCCAAGGCCUCAAACAGGGGAGCCAUCCUUCAGAAACCCUGUCUAGUUGUUCAGAGACGUAGGCCACCGGCCUCAGCCAGGGCCCCACAGUUUGGGUUAAAAGUCCAGCUGCCAUCUUUUCUCUCUCUAACGCAUACAAUGGAAAAGGCUUUGUCAGAUCGGGUAGCCCCAGGGCUGGGGCUGCCAGAAGUUUUUCCUUUAAGUCAUGAAAGACUUGCUGUUCUUGGAUCCCCAUUCCAAAGGUUCCGGUCCCCGCCCCCUUUGUGACCUCAUACAAAGGCUUGGCUAAUACUGCAAAGUUUGGGAUCCACAGUCUACAAAACCCCACAUCCCCUGAGAAUUCUCUCGCCUGCCUUAGGCACUUAGGCUCCGGGAGAUUGCAAAUAACCUGCUUUCUUUCUGUUCCCGGGCUGCGUUCGGACUCCUGUCAGAUAGUAAAUCCUAAGUAAGGUGGCGUCGGACCCCUGUCAGAGAGUAAAUCUCAAGUAAGGUACCUGCCAUCGGCAGAUUUGAGCUUUCUUCUUGGACACCUAAUACCCACAGUCCUCCAGGCUCCGGUAGACUGCAAAUGACCUGCUUUCUUUCUGUUCCCGGGCUGCGUUUGGACCCCUGUCGGACAGUAAAUCCCAAGUAAGGUACCUGCCCUCGGCAGAUUUGAGCUUUCUUCUUGGACACCUAAUACCCACAGUCCUCCAGGAAUGGAACAGAUAAGAAGAUACUGAAAUUGGACGGUGCUGCCGUGCGGCUGCCGCAGGACACCUUUAAUAUCCCUGUUUCUCAGGCUGUAGAUGAAGGGGUUCAGCAUGGAGGUGAUCACCGUGUACAUCACUGAGGCCACUGCAGCCUUUCUCGGGGAAGAUGACACAUCUGAACUGAGGUACCCUCCAAAGCCUGUUCCGUAAAAUCAGCAAACAACUGACAGGAUAACUUCAGGAAGUGGGUAUUAAUUCUCACGGUAUAAGUGAAGACAUUAAGCACCAGAGUUUAAGUAGCUUGAUCCACUGAAAGAGAUUCAACUGUGUGGAACCUAUGCCGUGGAGAAUUGCUUUCUGCCAUUGUUAUCGUCCAGCAGUUGCCGAAUAGCUCUGACCUGAGCAAAGCAGUGAAACGCGGUGCUGUUGAGUGGGUUGCCACUGCACCUUUUUCAACUACUCUAGUCUUGUGGAGAAAAUACCCCUUCUAAAUUUUUUCUUCAUUGAAUACUCUCCCUCAGCUCCAGAGUACCAUAUAGAGUUUUCUUGUAUUUUAGAGUUACUGUUUUAUCAAAGUUUACCAGUCUUUUGUAUUACAUUUCUCCUGUCUAAAUCGACUGUGUGGUUUCUACUCAUUAUGGAUAUAGAUUGAUACAAACUCAAUAAAUAUUUUUGAAUGAAUAACUCCACAGUCCAAGUUAUUUUAAUCACUAUACAAAAUCUCCAGAGUUUCUCCCAUAUUUCUGAAC
This 2084-nucleotide long non-coding RNA is filed under the name Homo sapiens (human). Its description in RNAcentral is "HSALNT0373188". Lineage: Eukaryota; Metazoa; Chordata; Mammalia; Primates; Hominidae. The record is from RNAcentral.